Molecule: ribosomal RNA, 794 nt
Filed under: uncultured bacterium
Lineage: Bacteria
Description: bacterial SSU rRNA
Rfam family: Bacterial small subunit ribosomal RNA
Source: RNAcentral
GAGUUUGAUCCUGGCUCAGGAUGAACGCUAGCGGGAGGUUUAACACAUGCAAGUCGUGGGGCAGCAUUAGGUAGCAAUACUUAGAUGGCGACCGGCGCACGGGUGAGUAACGCGUAUGCAACCUACCCAGUACAGGGGGAUAGCCCGGAGAAAUUCGGAUUAAUACCCCAUAAUGAUAUAGAGAGGCAUCUUUUUAUAUUUAAAGCUUCGGCGGUACUGGAUGGGCAUGCGUAAGAUUAGCUAGUUGGUAGGGUAACGGCCUACCAAGGCUCCGAUCUUUAGGGGUCCUGAGAGGGUGAUCCCCCACACUGGUACUGAGACACGGACCCGACUCCUACGGGAGGCAGCAGUAAGGAAUAUUGGACAAUGGGCGAAAGCCUGAUCCAGCCAUGCCGCGUGAAGGAUGAAGGCGCUCAGCGUUGUAAACUUCUUUUGGAUGGGAACAAUAACCACGACUUGUCGUGACUUGAGGGUACCAUCAGAAUAAGCACCGGCUAACUCCGUGCCAGCAGCCGCGGUAAUACGGGGGGUGCAAGCGUUAUUCGGAUUUAUUGGGCGUAAAGGGCGCGUAGGCGGUAUAUUAGGUCAGAUGUGAAAGCCCGGGGCUUAACCCCGGAAGUGCAUUUGAAACCGGUAUACUUGAGUAUGGGAGAGGGAAGUGGAAUUCCUGGUGUAGAGGUGAAAUUCGUAGAUAUCAGGAGGAACACCGGUGGCGAAGGCGACUUCCUGGCCCAAUACUGACGCUGAGGCGCGAAGGCGUGGGGAGCAAACAGGAUUAGAUACCCUGGUAGUCC